GACGAACCGAGCGAACGUUAUUCGGAAUCACUGGGCUUAAAGGGCGCGUAGGCGGGCCGUCAAGUCGAGGGUGAAAUCCCCCAGCUCAACUGGGGAAGUGCCUCCGAUACUGGCGGCCUCGAGGGGGAUAGGGGCAUGCGGAACUUCCGGUGGAGCGGUGAAAUGCGUAGAUAUCGGAAGGAACACCGGUGGCGAAAGCGGCGUGCUGGAUCACUUCUGACGCUGAGGCGCGAAAGCCAGGGGAGCGAACGGG
Molecule: ribosomal RNA, 253 nt
Filed under: uncultured bacterium
Lineage: Bacteria
Description: partial 16S ribosomal RNA
Rfam family: Bacterial small subunit ribosomal RNA
Source: RNAcentral